CAUGACUCAGGAUGAACGCUUAAUACGUGCAAGUCACAUGCAAGUCGAACAGAGGUCUGUAGCGAUAAACGGUGAGUGGCGAACGGGUGAGUAACCCCGGAGAGCGUGAUAACAAGUGGGGGAUAUCAGUCAGAAAGCAUGAGCAGUAGAGCAUAGCAGAUCUGGAUUAGAUGCAGGAUAUCCCAAGACUUCGGUCGCUUCGGGAGGGGCCUGCGUCCCAUCAGCUAGUUGGCAAGGUAAAAGCUUACCAAGGCGAUGACGGGUAGGGGACCUGAGAGGGUGGCCCCCCACAAUGGAACUGAAACACGGUCCAUACACCUACGGGUGGCAGCAGUAGGGAAUAUUGGUUAAUGUGCGAAAGCGCGAACCAGCAACGCCGCGUGUGCGAUGAAGGCCUUCGGGUUGUAAAGCACUUUUUGAGGGGAUGAGGAAGGACAGUACCGUCAGAAUAAGUCUCGGCUAACUACGUGCCAGCAGCCGCGGUAACACGUAGGAGACGAGCGUUAUCCGGAUUUACUGGGUGUAAAGCGCGUGCAGGCGGUUCAGCAAGUUGGAUGUGAAAGCUCCCGGCUCAACUGGGAGAGGUCGUUCAAAACUACUGGACUUGAGAGCAGUAGAGGGAGGUGGAAUUCCGGGUGUAGUGGUGAAAUGCGUAGAUAUCCGGAGGAACACCAGUGGCGAAAGCGGCCUCCUGGACCGCAUCUGACGCUCAGACGCGAAAGCUAGGGGAGCAAACGGGAUUAGAGACCCCGGUAGUCCUAGCUGUAAACGAUGUAGACUUGGCGUUGGAGGGGUUAAAUCGAUCAGUGCCGAAGCAAACGCGAUAAGUUUACCGCCUGGGGACUACGGCCGCAAGGUUAAAACUCAAAGGAAUUGACGG
Molecule: ribosomal RNA, 880 nt
Filed under: uncultured bacterium
Lineage: Bacteria
Description: bacterial SSU rRNA
Rfam family: Bacterial small subunit ribosomal RNA
Source: RNAcentral